This 22-nucleotide microRNA is filed under the name Canis lupus familiaris (dog). RNAcentral describes it as "Cfa-Mir-208-P2_5p* (star (passenger))". Lineage: Eukaryota; Metazoa; Chordata; Mammalia; Carnivora; Canidae. The record is from RNAcentral.
GAGCUUUUGGCUCGGGUUAUAC